CACCGCGGUUAUACGAGAGGCCCAAGUUGAUAGGAAGCGGCGUAAAGAGUGGUUAGGGAGGUACUUAAACUAAAGCCGAAAAUCUUCAAGGCCGUUAUACGCCUUCUCGAAGGUAGGAAGACCAACUACGAAAGUGGCUCUAACACACCUGACCCCACGAAAGCUAAGAAA
This 171-nucleotide ribosomal RNA is filed under the name Bothus sp. MParis737. RNAcentral's name for it is "partial small subunit ribosomal RNA". Lineage: Eukaryota; Metazoa; Chordata; Actinopteri; Pleuronectiformes; Bothidae. The record is from RNAcentral.